Molecule: non-coding RNA, 202 nt
Organism: Serratia marcescens subsp. marcescens Db11
Lineage: Bacteria; Pseudomonadati; Pseudomonadota; Gammaproteobacteria; Enterobacterales; Yersiniaceae
Source: Rfam
ACUUCCCGGGCCGGAACGAAAAGGGAGUGGGUGUCGAGGACGCCGAUGAACUUUUGGCUUGUGGUUGUGAUGUUGUGUUUGCAAAUUGUCCGGCGAUUCCGGACAUGGUAGCUAGGCUACUGUUUUUUCACUUCCUGUACAUUUACCCUGUCUGUCCAUAGUGAUUUUAUGCAGCACCGCAAAACUUGCGGUGCUUUUUUUU